GCUUCGCGAUUUCGUGUGGUGACGCUCUUGUCCAGUGUGGCCCUGCUUGAAGUUACUGUGGACUUCAGUUGAUGCUUCAUCUCCACUAGACUCAUCCCCCGUCAUCCUCCUGCCUUGGACGUGAGACGUGGACCGCUGGCCGUGCCCAUUCUUCGAUGCAAACACGUGGACUCCAGACGACAGCAUGUGGUGCUGUGAUCUCUUGGAACUUUGCCUGGGACUGCGGCGGGAGCACUGGCCCACUGCUUACCUUUCAGCGGCAGGGGUCCCCGCCACAGCUACCGGAUUUGGGGAGGAUACCGAGCUAUGACAUUCGUCAUACAUUUUUGAUGCGACGCACAUCGCAUAUUUCAUCGCUCAAUAAACUAUCCUUCUACCAA
Hyalella azteca is the source of this 380-nucleotide long non-coding RNA. RefSeq lists it as uncharacterized. The transcript is spliced from 2 exons. The record is from RefSeq and is a predicted model, not a curated record. Lineage: Eukaryota; Metazoa; Arthropoda; Malacostraca; Amphipoda; Hyalellidae.